Molecule: ribosomal RNA, 253 nt
Filed under: uncultured bacterium
Lineage: Bacteria
Description: partial 16S ribosomal RNA
Rfam family: Bacterial small subunit ribosomal RNA
Source: RNAcentral
UACGAAGGGGGCUAGCGUUGUUCGGAAUUACUGGGCGUAAAGCGUGCGCAGGCGGCUUCUCAAGUCAGGGGUGAAAGCCCAGAGCUCAACUCUGGAAUUGCCUUUGAGACUGAGUGGCUUGAGUACGAGAGAGGUGAGUGGAAUUCCCAGUGUAGAGGUGAAAUUCGUAGAUAUUGGGAAGAACACCGGUGGCGAAGGCGGCUCACUGGCUCGUAACUGACGCUCAGGCACGACAGCGUGGGGAUCAAACAGG